RNAcentral lists this long non-coding RNA (238 nucleotides) under Actinidia chinensis (golden kiwifruit). RNAcentral's name for it is "long non-coding RNA (ACHI_LNC001390)". Lineage: Eukaryota; Viridiplantae; Streptophyta; Magnoliopsida; Ericales; Actinidiaceae. The record is from RNAcentral.
GGAAACUUGAGCUCAAAUUCACACACAAAUAUUACCCAAACAACAGUCACAAAAUGGGAUAAACACAGCACACGAAAAUCUAAUUUAGCUAUACAAAUCUAGAGCUUCAAUGACCAAAUUUCAACAAAAAAAACAGAGUAACAAGAUAUCAACUUAUCUGGGCAUCAAACAUGAUUUUUCCUUCACUAAAUUUCAUCUUUUCAAAGCAUUAUUCUUCUCCUCUUCCAUUGCAACUUUC